Molecule: long non-coding RNA, 1941 nt
Filed under: Homo sapiens (human)
Lineage: Eukaryota; Metazoa; Chordata; Mammalia; Primates; Hominidae
Description: HSALNT0306115
Source: RNAcentral
UUCUUUUGUAAAUUGCCCAGUCUUGGGUAUGUCUUUAUCAGCAGCAUGAAAAUGGACUAAUCCAGAAGGCAUGGAUAUGCAAACUUUCACUUUUGUUCUUUACUUGAGUGUCAGGAAAAUAUGAUGUUGUGGAUGGAUAGAAGACAAGAGAGAUGAAGAUUUGUGUCACCAUAGUAAAAAUUCUAGAAGGCUAUGGUGUCUCAUAUUGGUCUCAGAAUUCUAAAUCAAAUAAAGCACUAAAACAAAUGUAUUAAACACUCAGAAACCUAAAUUUUAGCUGCUUCCUAAGAUUGUGAACAGUGUUUUCUCAUGAUCUUCCUGAAAGCAAUUGACAAUGCGUUACAUUCAACUUGAAGAAAUAAGUAUUUUCUUCCCUUAAAAAAUUUACCAAUUUAAUUAUCAUCCAAGGUCUCGAACUCAUGAACUCAAGCCAUCUGCUCGCCUCAGCCUCCCAAAGUGCUGGGAUUACAGGUGUGAGCCACUGUGCCUGGCCUAUAGCAUGACUUUUAUACCUCUCAGAGUCCUCUCAUAGAGUUUAUCAAGCAUAGUAGGACUACAGCAGCUACCUAGGUUUGACGGGCUGAGGUUUGAGUUAGCCAUAGUCAACUGUCAUCUGAAAAUAGGUAAAUAUAGUACAAUAAGGUAUUUUGAGAGAGAAAAAGAGACCACGUUUAUAAAACAUUUGUGACAGUAAAUUGUUAUUGUUCUAUUUUAUGAUUAUUGAUGUUAAUGUCUUACUGAGCCUAAUUUAUAAAUUAAACUUUAUCAUAGGUAUGCAUGUAUAGAAAAAACAUAGUCUGUAUAAGAUUGGGUACCAUCCACAGUUUCAGGCCUUCACAUGGGAUCUUGGAAUGUAUCCCCCGUGGGAAUACAUUAUUCAAAAUUUAAACUUUCUCUAUUGAAUGACUUUGAGAAAUCUCUCUUUAUUUCUUCCAGAUUCCAUCAUGAAAGUUGAAAUUUCUAAAGUUUUUUAACUUCUUAUUGUUACUGGUGCAGAUCUACUUCAAAGAGUCAAAAUGAACAGUUCCCUUCCACAUUCUUCACCAAAUGAAAGCACUAAUUUUUCUCAAAGGGAUAAGCUACUAGUAAGAUUUAGACAUUGAAUACUUCAAGCUAGUUACAUAGUUGUUCAGCCUGUUGUUUGCUCAGCACAUUUUUUUCCUUUUCAAUCAAUUAAUAAACCUGACAGGGAAUAUAUAGUUAGCUGAAAAAUGUCUUCAGUUGAAAUUCUACAAGCCAUCUUGCUGCUUUGAGAAUGGGUCAGGAGGAUGCUGAAGCAUCAUAAUGUUAUGCACUUCUCUGGGUUGAUAUGUUAAGGCCCAGUAGUCAAAAUUGGUGAAGGAAAACUCAAGGUCACAGGGUUUAACGCUUGCUUUCCAGCUGAUUUCCAGUGUGACUCUUGGGGAUGCCAUUCAACUUCAGCUUCCUGCUUUAAUUCCUUGCUUUUUAAAUAUCAAGCUGCUGUGUCAAAAAACCAAAUAAUGAAUCAUACGGGAUUUGGCCUCACAGUUGAGGUCGAGUAGAGAGCUGAGUGACAGUUUGUUAUAAUUCAUACUUUUGAAUAAUAUUAAAACAAUGAUAUAUUUUUCAAAGUUAAAGGACAAGAGGACAAAAUUUAGGCAUGUUAUAACAAGGUAGUAUUUUAGUAGCUUGCUAAUGGUGAAAUUAUGGUUGCUUAAAAUAGUAAACAUACCUUCCAAAUUUCUAAAUGUUAUUUGAAAAGGAUUUUGCUUAAUAUGGCUCCUCAUGUUGUCGAUUUUGACUUUCAUUUACACAAACUACAUCCAAGUGACACAUUAAAGAACAACAUGUAAUGUGCAUCCAUUCUGGAGUUGAUCAAUGUGAGGAUAAGGGCAGAUGCUGCCACAGAGACUGUCAUUCCCACAGACAUUUAAAUAUAUUAGCACUUGGGGGCCAGGUGUGGUGGCUCACGCCUGUAAU